AGGGCCGCGGUAAUUUGACCGUGCGAAGGUAGCAUAGUCAUUAGUCUUUUAAUUGGAGGCUUGUAUGAACGGUUGGAUGAGGGACAUUCUGUCUCUGUUUAUAAUAUGAAUUUAACUUUUAAGUGAAAAGGCUUAAAUUUCCUAGUGGGACGAUAAGACCCUAUAAAAUUUUAUAUUUUUUAAUUUGAGUUUAGAAUUUGAUUUAAAUUUGUUUAUUUAUUUAUAUUUUGUUGGGGAGACAAUGAUAUGAUUUUAACUGUCAUUAUUAAUAUAAUAAUUAUAAUUAGUUUUUGAUCCUUUAUUAUAGAUUUAAAGAUUAAAUUACUUUAGGGAUAACAGCGUGAUUUUCUUUGAGAGUUCUUAUCGACAAGAGUAGUUGCGACCUCGAUGUUGAAUUAAGAUGUUAGGCAGGUGUAGCAGUUUGUCUAGUGGGUCUGUUCGACCUUUAAAAUCUU
RNAcentral lists this ribosomal RNA (455 nucleotides) under Periclimenes crinoidalis. Its description in RNAcentral is "partial 16S ribosomal RNA". It matches the Rfam family "Archaeal large subunit ribosomal RNA", at positions 2004 to 2666 of the family's 2987-position model. Lineage: Eukaryota; Metazoa; Arthropoda; Malacostraca; Decapoda; Palaemonidae. The record is from RNAcentral.